GGAUCAAUACGUCGGUCGUGCUUUCGGGUACGUACUGGCGUCAUUGGUUUCUCCUUUCUGACGAACCAUGAUGUCAUUAAUUUGGUGUUAUGGGGAGUUAGGACUGUUACUUUGAAAAAAUUAGAGUGUUUAAAGCAGGCAUUAGCUUGAAUACAUUAGCAUGGAAUAAUGAAAUAGGACGUUCGAUCCUAUUUUGUUGGUUUCUAGGAUCAACGUAAUGAUUAAUAGGG
This 230-nucleotide ribosomal RNA is filed under the name uncultured Glomeraceae. RNAcentral describes it as "partial 18S ribosomal RNA". The stretch from base 48 to 230 matches the Rfam family "Eukaryotic small subunit ribosomal RNA", at positions 693 to 877 of the family's 1831-position model. Lineage: Eukaryota; Fungi; Glomeromycota; Glomeromycetes; Glomerales; Glomeraceae. The record is from RNAcentral.